UCGGGAAUUUUGGGCAAUGGGCGAAAGCCUGACCCAGCAACGCCGCGUGAGGGAUGAAGUAUUUCGGUACGUAAACCUCGAAAGAAUGGGAAGAAUAAAUGACGGUACCAUUUAUAAGCUCCGGCUAACUACGUGCCAGCAGCCGCGGUAAUACGUAGGGAGCAAGCGUUGUUCGGAUUUACUGGGCGUAAAGGGCGCGUAGGCGGCGCGGUAAGUCACUUGUGAAAUCUCUGAGCUUAACUCAGAACGGCCAAGUGAUACUGCUGUGCUAGAGUGCGGAAGAGGCAACCGGAAUUCUUGGUGUAGCGGUGAAAUGCGUAGAUAUCAAGAGGAACACCUGAGGCGAAGGCGGGUUGCUGGGCCGACACUGACGCUGAUGCGCGAAAGCCAGGGGAGCAAACG
This 402-nucleotide ribosomal RNA is filed under the name uncultured bacterium. RNAcentral describes it as "bacterial SSU rRNA". It matches the Rfam family "Bacterial small subunit ribosomal RNA", at positions 355 to 774 of the family's 1533-position model. The record is from RNAcentral.